GAUGAACGCUGGCGGCGUGCCUAAUACAUGCAAGUCGAGCGAACAGACGAGGAGCUUGCUCCUCUGACGUUAGCGGCGGACGGGUGAGUAACACGUGGAUAACCUACCUAUAAGACUGGGAUAACUUCGGGAAACCGGAGCUAAUACCGGAUAAUAUAUUGAACCGCAUGGUUCAAUAGUGAAAGACGGUUUUGCUGUCACUUAUAGAUGGAUUCGCGCCGCAUUAGCUAGUUGGUAAGGUAACGGCUUACCAAGGCAGCGAUGCGUAGCCGACCUGAGAGGGGGAUCGGCCACACUGGAACUGAGACACGGCCCUGACUCCUACGGGAGGCAGCAGUAGGGAAUCUUCCGCAAUGGGCGAAAGCCUGACGGAGCAACGCCGCGUGAGUGAUGAAGGUCUUCGGAUCGUAAAACUCUGUUAUUAGGGAAGAACAAAUGUGGAAGUAACUAUGCACGUCUUGACGGUACCUAAUCAGAAAGCCACGGCUAACUACGUG
Molecule: ribosomal RNA, 497 nt
Filed under: uncultured bacterium
Lineage: Bacteria
Description: partial 16S ribosomal RNA
Rfam family: Bacterial small subunit ribosomal RNA
Source: RNAcentral